RNA transcript from Mya arenaria, 9349 nucleotides. RefSeq lists it as uncharacterized. NCBI's taxonomy places the organism in Eukaryota, Metazoa, Mollusca, Bivalvia, Myida, Myidae. The transcript has 6 exons. The record is from RefSeq and is a predicted model, not a curated record.
UUAAUUUAACAACUUGAGUACGAUAUUGUUCUAUAAGAGGCUCUUAGGAUUUGGCCGGCGUGAGGAAGUUUUUUGAAACAAAUAGAAUCACAAACUUUCACUUUCAGUCAAACUUAUCAACUUCCGGCUCAAAAUGUUAUGACUCAUGUAUAUUUAAUAAAAUGAUACCGGGGAGUUGUUUAUCUGUGGAUGUCGAAAAUCUGCUUAAAGGGGCUAUACUCCGUAUGAUAAAAUAGCGGAAAAAAACAGAAAAUUUUCGAAAACUGACAUAAACUUGGCAUCGAUGUGUACAAUGCAUUGAAACUUACUAACUGAAGAACCCGGUCUCCGACACAGUUUUUUUUUUACAUUUUGGUACUUUUUUUUACAAUUAUGAUAAAGGGUAACACAGUCCAUUAGAUAAUUGUCCUGAGAUUCGUUACAGAAGAAAACUUUUUUGGUGCGAAUCUGGUGUACAGUCCCUUUAAGGGUUCAUUGUACUUUGCGCUCAUUAUAAAUAGAUAAAUGAAGGGUCUUCUCAUUGAUACAAAAAGCUUAGUUCCUUCAUUCACAGCAACAUAUAAUUGAUUAACGCAAGAUUAGCAGCAUCAGUAGAAGUUAUAUGAUAGUUAGUAGAAGGAAUAGUAGUAGCUGUUGUUGUAGAAGUGGCAACAACAACAACAACAAUUCAGCAGGAGCGGCAGUAGUUUAGGGGUAUCAUCAUCAUCAUUAUCAUCAUCAUUAUCAUCAUCAUCAUCAUCAUCAUCAUCGGUGGUGGUGGUGGUGGUGGUGGUGGUGGUUGCGGUGGUGCUGACGGUGGUGUUGUGGCGGUGGUGUUGACAUUGGCAAUAGCAGAAGUAGUAGUGGCAGUAUCAACAACAAUAGCUGCAGCAUUACCACCUGUAUUACUAAGACUUAAGAGCACACAUAUUAAAUGACCAACAUAGUCGGUUCUGUUCGGUGGGGUUAAAUACCUAUUUACAGUAACGUUCUGAGUCAUGUUAUUAUUUGGGGUGGGGGUGGGUCAGUAUUUUACAGAAAAGGAGUCACUCAAGGACAGGGACCAUUGUUGUGAGUUUAUGUCGGUCAAAACAUGUUCUUUCACAGGUCACGGUAUGAAGACAAUGCCAGAUGAACACAAAACUAAGCAAUUUUUUAGAUUUAAACAUUGCAAAAACAAAUCCCAAUCAGUUAUACGAAAAUGCAUUUUAACCGCCUCAUGUGUUCAUGAUAAUAUGAACAAAAUUGAAGUAAAUUUAACAUUCGGAGAUUCAGUUUAGCCAAUGUGAUAUAUUUUUUCAAGUUUCGUUUGUAUUUCCCAUUUUCCAUGGUGUAUACGUAUACUUACGAACUCAAUAUUUUUUACAGUGAAAUAAAAACAACAAAGCUUUAAAAAUGAACAAUAAGAGUGUGUGUUGUUUUUGUUAAAAAAUGUGAACCCAAUAAAUCUGACAUUUUAAAAUCAAUAUCCAUACGCUUAGUAAAGCAUACCCUUAAAUAUAAUUCGACCUACGAGACGGCCAGAUUCAUAUAUAAUGUAAUAUAGGUUACAUUUUCAUUCCAAAUAAAACGGUUGGUUAAGCAUACCAUUUUCAUUAACAUCUGUCAUACACAUGUAUGUCUAAAACGAUAAUGUUACUCAUUAAAAACAUCAUAUUUUUGUUUAAGAAUAAGUAAAUAAUAAGUUUUACUAAAUUAAGUACUCUGUAAUUUUAAUGAAUUGUAGUUAACACUUGAUACUUCUUCACGUCUUUCUGGGCAAAAUUAAAUACAUUCUUCCAAAUCUUGACCCAAACUACAGCAACUCCCUAGAUAUGAAAACAUGAUUAAACACAUGGUCAGAUUCUCGGUCAAUUAGGGGUUAAUGUGUAGCUGAAAUUGGCUCUUGUGUAGAAAUGAAAAGUGGAAAAAUUGGCUGGUAUUUCUUGGCAUGAUUGAUGUUUCAAUGAGUAUUACUGUACGAUUAUUGCUUCAUAAAGUCUAUAUUAAAAGUGUGAUACAAGUUUCAAAGUUAAUUGGCGGAUCGUUUUACAAACAUGUCAUGUCUGUGUUUUCUUAAUCUCUGCAUUGCCCUUGUUGUUUCUUUAAUCCUCCAUUGAAUAUAUCACACAUCCUUUUCACCAGGCAAUAAAUCGUUUAGGAUGGGUAGUAACCAACUAACUUAUCACAGUGAUGUAUACGGUUAGGUAAUCUAGCCAGGCAUUGUAACGAUAAAGAUCAAUAAUUUUUGUCUGUGAGACUUAGUAACUGUAAAAGUUCAGUCGAUGUCCUUUGGGUGUCCGAAAAUUAGGUACCUAAAAUAAAUUAUUUUUGAAAAUAAUAAUGGAUGUCCGAAUUUAUAGAAUGUCCGAGCUCUUAAGGUGAAUUAAGUUUGUGCUUGUGUGGCAGGUAUGUUUCAAUUCUUGAACUAUAUUUUCUUGUCAGAUACAAAUGUGUCAGAUACUGACUUUCGGAUUGAUAUGUCAGACUUAAGUGUGCAAUUUUGGCAAUAAAACCUGCAUGUUACUCAAGUUCUUCAAACCUGAACCCCCAGGUCCUCUUGACAGCAUUGAGGUUUCCUUGGCUAAUGGCUUAUAUGGUAAAUUUGCCGUCCCACUCUUUAUGUAAUUAUGUUUCAGGGAGGUUAGUAUUCUACAGAGGGUGAUUGAAAGCAAACGGGUGCAUAAAGAAAAGUAAAACCGUUCCUGGAAAGUCUCAAAUAAUAGCAGAGUGGUGUACCAUAACUUAGUUGAAAUCCAACCAUCAUUGUCAAAAGUAUUUAACCAGACAAAUAAAGAAUGUUUCCUUUGAAGCAUGUAACAUGUUUAAAAACUACUGAUAAACCUGAAAAUUGAUGACUUUUAUUUUUGUUACUUUCUGAGUCAACAGUUACUGAAAUCAAUAUAUCAAAAAAAAUAAAAAAAAAAAUAAAAAAAUAAAAAAAAUAUUCAGACCUACCUACCCUAUUUUUUUUAGCAGUGUUACCUGAAACACACCUAUUUUUUAUUUGGCCUUAUGGUAUUAAUUUCCAAUAACAAGAUACAAAAUUAAACAUAUCGGCACAUUUUUAAUACAAUAAGCAUAUAAAAAGCGCAUAAUCUCAUUCGUCAAACUCACUACAUUUUACAAUACUUCUAUGCAAUUUAAUAAAAAAGAAAUUCUAAAGUAAUAUGGUCUAUAUAUUUAAAAAAUAUUGGCUUAAGGUCACAAUUCCUCUCAAUGGUAGAACAUCUAUGAAUUAAAAAAUUAUUACAUUUAAUAUUCAGCCUGCUUAUAAUAUUUCCUUCGCAACAUAAAAAAAUAGCUAGUGUGAAUGUUUCUAUUUGUCAUAGUUUCAGAGUUUAUUGGCAAAUCACACUACACUAUUAGGAAUAAAGAAGGAAUACAACUACUAGAUUUAACUUUGUUUAUGUUGUUAUUUUUAUGUUUUAUACUUACAGUAAACUUAUUUUGUAAAUUCAAAUGGUAUUAAAUUAAUUCCUCAUAAUUAUAGGAGUCAACGGUUAAGAUAUGACCAUUCGAUUUCUUAACGGUUACGAAUUGACUAACACAAUGGUUACGAAAUGACCAACAAUGAGCGGUUACGAAAUGAUCAUAAUUCAUUUGACAGGGCUUUUACCAGCUGUUUGUCUGUGCAGAGCGGGAAUUUUACCUGGGAUUGGCUGGACCGAAAGUCAAAGUCCCCGCUAUUAGCAGGACCUUGGGGGCCCAUGCUGCAAUUGACUGUUGCAUUAUUUGGAUUUUUUCUUAACUUUACGACAUGCCCCCCUACAGCAUUUUAUAGUUAAGUUUAGUAAUAUUUUUUUACAGAAAUUGGAUAACUUAACAAGUAAAGUAAACUGUACUGAGCUUUUAAACAAACCUACAUACUUAUAGAUCAAAAUUGAUAUUUUAGGGUCUACACUGAAUAAACCCAAAAUGUUAGUUUUGAUUUGCUAAAUUCGAACAGUAUUUAGUCAAUCCACACAAAAUUUACAGGAUCAUCAGAUAACAAAUUUUCUAAAAAUUCUCCGUUUGCCAAAUAGGGAAGACAGGAUUAAGUGGGAUUAAAAGGUUGCUAUCUGUGACCAAAAAAAUACUGUUCAAAAUUGUGAGUAUUCAUUUAUCUUUCGUUCAGUAAAGAGCAUGCAAUGGCAUAGUGGUUGGAUUAGAUAAUCUGACAGCGGUGCUGGACGUCAGGAGUUCAAAUAUUGUUGUGAGUUCAAUGUACCAAAAGAAUACCUUUGGAAUACACUACCGGGUAUUAUCUAUAAAAAUGGCAGAGCAAAUUGCCCAUAUUGUAGUAAUGUCUUAGAUCCAGCUUGGAUAACUUGGACACAGUAAGCGGUUCACACCCAGGGAAAUUCUCAGAUAAAACAGCGCCUAUAAACUUGAACAUUACAUUUGUCAUUGAGACAAUUAAAGAAAAAACAUUAUUGCUGAUCUUCUGAAAACAAAUCCUCUAACAUUCAAAUAUUUAAUUUGUUGGAUGAACUAAGGUUUAUAUUGAUAAGAGAUUGCUUCAGUUGGAUUUAAACUAAUCACCAACAAAAAUAUAUGCAUUUAAAUCACACAAUGUAAACAACUGCGCCACAGAUCUUAUCUGUAUGUUUUGGGUUUUUAAAAUUUAGCAGUUAAAUAUAGAUUAGCAUACUGGUAGGUCUGGUUGGUCUGUUGCUUUAGUUGCUAAGUAAACAUAAUGUCAGUGAUUUCAUCACUAUUUCUAUUAAAAUAUCAGUUUUCCUCUUCAGGGCUUCUUACAUUUGCACCAUUUUUUUACCAUUUGAAUCAUAAAAAGAUAACAAACACAUGAACUUAACACUUUGUGAAUAUUUAAGGAUUGUAAGGGGUCAGAUUUCAGAUUGCUCAUUAUUGCUGGAACACUAAAUACUUUAUUUGAUUGUGUACACUGCACUUUCUUGUUAAGCAUUCAUCCAAAUCAUUUGGGUAAAUUUUGGCAGAAAAACUGCUUUUGGAUUUAUACUGGUCAUCAAAACCGGCACUGACAAAACAUAAGACGUGUUUAAUUAAUGUGCGGGAAAGAGGUUUAAAGGUGUCGGCCCACAACGAAAGGCUUGCGGGUUGCAGUACCCCUUUAAGUAGUUCUUGAAAAAAAUGAUUCUCUGAGGUAGCAUUUGAUUAUGUGUACAUUGUAUUCUUGUAUGUAUUUUCAAGUUAACACAUGAUUUAUAUAAGGUUUGUAUAAUUUUAGUUUUAUUUAAGUUUUAAAAUUUUGAUAUUUUUUUUAAGAUUUGCCUGCCCCUGUCUGAACACUUAAAUUCUUGGUCUUUGGUCUAUUGUCUGCAACUUCAAAACACACUUUUUGGAACAGGACACAUUUUCCUGAUAUUUUAUCCAGUUUGACUGCAAUAUAAGUUGUAUUUAUCAAUAAUUUAAGUAAAAAAUGACAUUUAUAUUUCCAUAAUUACCUGGUAGUUAUUUGUUAAUUUGUUUUAAUUCAUGGAUAGGUUUAUUGCGAGUGUCAUGGAAAGCUGGAACUUUUCAGUACACAACAUGCAAACUGAGAAUGAACUGUGUGUGCCGGCUUUGUGAACAAAAACGCAAGGCGGCUAUGAUACACUGUGUUGUGUGUGGAUAAGAAAUGCAGAGUGGUACCACCAAUUACCUAAGCCACCAUUCCCCUAACAGACAAAAGGCUCAUGGGGACAGUUCCUGCAGUUUACAGCAAAUUGUAGCCCUACAAACUUCAGAUACUGCCAAGCUUGGGUGCACUGGGCGGUUAUCCAGCCGUGUGGAAUCAACAUCUCCAGCUGAACUUGGGCCGGGAAUUAUAUAAGAAUCCUUAGCAGCAUGAGUGCCAGCCAGUCAUUGCUGUUCUUUGCAUUGCUGAGGAGGACAGUCCUGCCAACAUAACAGUUUGUUCAAUAACAGGAGACAAACAGAAACACAGAGGUGCUAUACAUUCCGAUGGAAAAUACAACAAAAGCAUCUCCCAUCAUUUUGGCGUGGCUCAGAUCAAGAGGAGAAUUUUAAGAAAGGUGAUGGUUGGGCACACACAAGAAGACAUAGAUCACAUGUGUCCAGGCAUAUGAGUAGACAGGAGUUUCACACUCUGCCAAACAUACUUCAUCAGAGGAGCAGAAAGCUUCUCAAGAUCCCGCACUGCACACUUAGAUAUAGUCUUUGACUACAACAAGGGGAUGAAAGUACAGAGAGGUCCAAUUGAAAUCAAUUCUGUGCUGCGUCAUUUCUUCAUUCUGGAAGUCGAUGGACAUGAUUUAUCAUGGCAUCAGGUGUGCAGUUUGUCGACUAUCAGCAGUCUUGUUCACCAGUUGUGCAACUUGAGCUGGUAGCUUUAUUGCUUGAAGCCACAGCAUAAGAGGGGGAAGGUGCAGGCUCAUCAAAAAGUCUCAAAAGUUGAAACUAGGAAAAGAAGUUUGUCAAGAGUGUGAAUAUUUGCUUUGAAAACCAUCUUUACGAUGAUUUGGUUUCCUUUGAAACUUGAUACAUACUAUGUGUAUGUUGAAUGAAUUGAGAUGCUUAAAUAAAGAACCGCUAUUCAAAUAUCAGGAAACUGCAUUUUUCAUACUAAUGUGUAAAUGAUGUCGCCAUUUCCUGUAUGUAUUUAAAUGAGAUAUGUUUCCACAAUUAAUAUUUUUAGGGAAUUUUUCUCAUCCUAAUGAAUGAGAUUAAAUUGUACAGCGUUAUAUGAGCUUAAUAUGUGUUUUCUGUUUCUUUAAAAUUGGUGAAAAAUUGUCAGAAGAUAAUUAGACCAUUAUCCAUUACUGCAAUCAUACAAUCAAAUAUACAGGGACAAACCCACUGGGCAUAUAAUAUAAUUAAACCCUGUUCAGGGGCACGAGGCAAACAGAGUUACUUUCAAACGUUAAAGCUGCACUCUCACAUUUUGGACGUUUUGACAACUUUUCUCAUUUUAGGUCUUGGAUUGGAACCAUCCAAUUUUUGCGAAAAAUUAAAUGGCAGAUUUUUCUUUUUAAGUUAAAACAUUGAUGUUUUAUGCACUUUUCUUAAACCGUUAGUAACAUUAAUUUUUGAACGGAAAUAUGAAAUCUGUGAUCUGAUCUUUUGUCAGCAAUCUUUUAUCAUUGGUUUGCAGAUAAUUACGCAAAAAAUUGCUCAUUCAAAAACAAAAAAAGUUGUGAAAACGGUAUAUCUGUGGGAGUGCAGCUCUAAAUGUUUAAUUUCUUGAUUUUACUACUGUAUUAGAAAUUACAGGGGUUGGGGCAUAUUUUUAGUGUUUUUAUUGCUUUUUAUGAUUCAUACAGUCAUACUUUAUUCCUCAGGGCAUAACUUACAAAUAGACAAAACUGGAAAAUGGUCGUUUCAAAAGGCCAAAGAUAAUGCAAGUUGAACAAUCAUAUUGUUCAUGGCUUGUAUUUUUGGUAUAUUUUGUUGCAUAUGCUAUAGAAAAGUUGAAAGUUAAAAAUAAAUUCAUAGUUGAAAUGAUGGCUUUGAAUGGUAUUGUCAGAUGAGAAAAGGCACUUUUAAGAAAUAGGUAUAAUGGUACUUUAUUUAUUUUGAUCAAUUUUAGAUAUUGUAUGAAAAUUAUUAUCUUAUUUAGUACAUGAGACCUUUUAAACAGUUAUUGACAAUAUAACAAUGUGUAUAUGAAGCUUUAGAUCAACACUUAAAGCUUCACUCUUACAGAUUGUCAGUUAAGACACAAAAUUGUCUCAAAAUCUGCUGAUUUGGUUAUCAUUCCUUUAAUUCAGUCAUAUUAGAUAAUUCACAAUAGAACCCAUCAGAAAUGUAAAAGUGCCGAAAAUUUCAUUUACAUUAAAUUGUUCGUAAUGCUUUUAGCCAUAAAACAUCAUUUUUAGCUCCACUGGCCGAAGGCCAUGGAGCUUAUGUCGUCACAGAUUGUCCGUCGUGAGUUCGUGCUUGCGUGCGUGCGUGCGUGCGUAAACUUUUACUAUAAACGACAUCUCCUCUGAAACUGAUAAGCGGAUUUUGACAAAACUUCACAGGAAUGUUCCUUUGGUGGUCCUUUACCAAAAUUGCUCAAAUGGUUCCGGUCCAUUGCACAAUAUGGCCGCCAGAGCUAAAAAUAGCAAAAUCUUUAAACGACAUCUCCUCUGAAACGGUUCGGCAGAUUUUGAUGAAACUUGACAGUAAUGUUCCUUGGGUGGUCCUUUAUUAAAAUUGCUCAAAUGGUUCUGGUCCAUUGCACAAUAUGGCCGCCACAGCUAAAAAUAGCAAAAUCUUUAAACGACAUCUCCUCUGAAACGGAUAGGCAGAUUUUGAUGAAACUUGACAGAAUUGUUCCUUGGGUGGUCCUUAACCAAAAUCGCUCAAAUGGUUCCGGUCCGCUGCACAACAUGGCUGCCAGGGCAAAAAAAACCUUUAAAGAACAUCUUCUCAGAAACUGAUGAUCAGAUUUUGAUGAAACUUAACAGAAAUGUUCCUUGGAUGGUCCUUUAUCAAAUUUGCUUCAAUGGUUUCGGUCCACUGCACAAGAUGGCCCCCAGAGGUAAAAAUAGAAAAACCUUUAAACGACUUCUCCUCAGAAACCGAUGAUCGUAUUGCAAUGAAACUUGACAGAAAUGUUACUUGGGUAGUCCUUAACCAAAAUAGCCCAAACAGUUCUGGUCUGCUGCACAACAUGGGCACCAGAGCUAAGAAUAGAAAAAAAACGUUAAACUACAUCUUCUCAGAAACCGAUGAUCAGAUUUUGAUGAAACUUGACAGAAAUGUUCCUUGGAUGGUCAUUAACCAAAAUUUGUUAAAUGGUUCCAGUCCACUGCACACCAUGGCUGCCAGAGCUAAAAAAUAAAAAAAACUUUAUACGACUUGUCGUCGAAACCGAUGACCUUUUUUCGAUAAAACUUGACAGAAAUGUUUGUUUGGUGCUCCUUUACUCAAAUUGCCCAAAUCAUUUCGGUCCACUGCACAACAUGGCAGCCAGAGCUAUUAAAGUAAAAAAUUUUUUUAAAUAACUUCUCCUCAAAAAUUGAUGAUUGUAUUUCUAUGAAACUUGACGAAAAUGUUCGUUAGGUGGUCUUUGCUUGAACCUUUUGGCCAGUGGAGCACAGGCACUGAUGUGCCUCUUGUUUUAACAUAAAUAUGAUAAACUGCUAUCUGAUCUUUUUUCAGCAUUCUUAUAUCACUUAAAAUUGGGUCUAGACAUUUAUGCAAAAAAAUUGUCCAUUUAUAGACAAACAAUAAAAUAGUACCGGUAGUCAAAACGAUCAAUCGGUGAGAUUGCAGCUUUAAAUACACCUUUUAAGACCGCUGUAAAAUUCCAAUGGUUUGCCUAAAUCUUUAAAGCUAGCAUACUGUUUAAUUAACAACCAUACUUAUUGUUUAAAAGUGUCAUGAUAUCUUUGUACAAUGUUUUUUAUAUAAUUCAUUAAAGAAGUCAAAACAAAUUUGUUUAUCUUGUAAAUUGUUUUCUAUUAUUUAAAUGACCCAGACAAAAAUGGGAACGUCA